AUCUGGAUAGCUCAGUUGUUUAGAGCAGUUGCCCGGAAAGCGAAAGACUCGGGUUCGAUUCCCGAUCCAGCCA
Molecule: transfer RNA, 73 nt
Filed under: Camponotus floridanus (Florida carpenter ant)
Lineage: Eukaryota; Metazoa; Arthropoda; Insecta; Hymenoptera; Formicidae
Rfam family: tRNA
About the family: Transfer RNA (tRNA) molecules are approximately 80 nucleotides in length.
Source: Rfam by way of RNAcentral